GGGGUUGUAGCUCAGUGGUAGAGCACUUGCCUCGAAUGUAAGAGGCCCUGGGUUUAAUCCUCAGUAUCACAU
RNAcentral lists this transfer RNA (72 nucleotides) under Ictidomys tridecemlineatus (thirteen-lined ground squirrel). RNAcentral describes it as "Spermophilus tridecemlineatus (thirteen-lined ground squirrel) tRNA". It matches the Rfam family "tRNA". Rfam says of the family: Transfer RNA (tRNA) molecules are approximately 80 nucleotides in length. Their secondary structure includes four short double-helical elements and three loops (D, anti-codon, and T loops). Further hydrogen bonds mediate the characteristic L-shaped molecular structure. tRNAs have two regions of fundamental functional importance: the anti-codon, which is responsible for specific mRNA codon recognition, and the 3' end, to which the tRNAs corresponding amino acid is attached (by aminoacyl-tRNA synthetases). tRNAs cope with the degeneracy of the genetic code in two manners: having more than one tRNA (with a specific anti-codon) for a particular amino acid; and 'wobble' base-pairing, i.e. permitting non-standard base-pairing at the 3rd anti-codon position. The record is from Rfam by way of RNAcentral. Lineage: Eukaryota; Metazoa; Chordata; Mammalia; Rodentia; Sciuridae.